AACGGUUUAUAGUUGACGUCUUCAUUAUUUUUUUACCUCACAAACAGUUAGUAACAUCCUUUUUCAAAAGUGGGUAGACAUUAGUCCAAUUCGGAAGUUUUUUCUUACUCCUACGGGAGGCAGCAGUAGGGAAUCUUCCGCAAUGGACGAAAGUCUGACGGAGCAACGCCGCGUGUAUGAAGAAGGUUUUCGGAUCGUAAAGUACUGUUGUAGAGAAGAACAAGGAUAAGAGUAACUGCUUGUCCCUUGACGGUAUCUAACCAGAAAGCCACGGCUAACUACGUGCCAGCAGCCGCGGUAAUACA
RNAcentral lists this ribosomal RNA (305 nucleotides) under uncultured Listeria sp. RNAcentral describes it as "bacterial SSU rRNA". It matches the Rfam family "Bacterial small subunit ribosomal RNA", at positions 312 to 527 of the family's 1533-position model. The record is from RNAcentral. Lineage: Bacteria; Bacillati; Bacillota; Bacilli; Caryophanales; Listeriaceae.